RNAcentral lists this unclassified non-coding RNA (323 nucleotides) under soil metagenome. Its description in RNAcentral is "partial contains 5.8S ribosomal RNA, internal transcribed spacer 2, and large subunit ribosomal RNA". The stretch from base 1 to 120 matches the Rfam family "5.8S ribosomal RNA", at positions 35 to 154 of the family's 154-position model. The record is from RNAcentral.
GAUGAAGAACGCAGCGAAAUGCGACAAGUAAUGCGAAUUGCAGAAUUCAGUGAGUCAUCGAAUCUUUGAACGCACAUUGCGCCCUGUGGUAUUCCGCAGGGCAUGCCUGUUCGAGCGUCAUUUCAACCCUCAAGCUCUGCUUGGUGUUGGGCCACGCCCUCGCGGCCGGCCCCAAAGCCAGUGGCGGCGCCGUCCGGCUCUAAGCGUAGUACAUCUCUCGCUCUAGGGCCCGGCGGCUGCCUGCCAGAACCCCAAACUCUUAUGGUUGACCUCGGAUCAGGUAGGGAUACCCGCUGAACUUAAGCAUAUCAAUAAGCGGAGGA